This is a long non-coding RNA of Solea senegalensis (Senegalese sole), 1872 nucleotides long. RefSeq lists it as uncharacterized. The transcript is spliced from 2 exons. Lineage: Eukaryota; Metazoa; Chordata; Actinopteri; Pleuronectiformes; Soleidae. The record is from RefSeq and is a predicted model, not a curated record.
CCCCCCCCUCCCCUCCCUCUCUCUCUCUCCACGUUUGCCUCCCCUCCUCCUCCUCCCUGGGCAACUCUUCUCCUCAGGCAGUGUGAGAGCACUGGAGCCGUCCGUCUCCUCCUCCCCCAGCAGGCAGGGCUCAAGAGGAGCGCAUGGGAGCUCUCUCUCUCCCUCACCCUCGUUUGUCUCUUCACAGGGUGAUGAGGGAGCAGCACUGUGGGCGGUAGAGGAGGUGCGUGGCAGUCCAGGAAGCUCUCAUUCUGCUGUUGCGUGCUGCUUUGCCGUCGUCCGGCUUCACCCAAGUCUCUCUCACUCUACGCGAGUGUGUGUGUAUCAGAGUUGCCUUCCCCUACCUCCUCUCUCCUCCCCUCAUUGAUUCCUCUUUCCGCCUGCCUUUCGUGUGGGCUCUCUGUGACUUUCUGAGCCCUUUCCCUCUUAUUUCUGGUUCUUUCCUUCUCUUGUUGCUUUUUAGUUUCCCUUUUAGCGCCUCUCCUCGUCUUCUUCUUCACCAGUCAGGAUAAGCUGGGGCGUGUAUGGCGAGCUUCAGAGUCUGGCAGGCAGAACGGUGGAAAAUGAAAGCACAAAGCAGCAAAAUGCAUCAGCAUGAAUAUUAGAGAUGUCGUUAAAACCCAGACUCGUUUCUCCCCCUCUCUCUCUCUCACUCGCUCUCUCCACUUGCUCUCUCACUCAUUUUCUCUCUCUCUCUUUGUAAGGAAGUAGGCCAGCAGAUGGUGCUAGCAGUUAUUAAAUUAACUUUCACAACUUAACCCCCACAGCACUGGAUUUCUCCCACAACAAAUAUCAACAUAACUGCUUUUGUUUUUUGUCCUUGCGUAGGUCAUUGUCGGUGACGUGCUGAUUUAUUUACGGAACAGUAUCAUUCAAGAGUCAGAUGAACAAACAGAUAAAGACAAAAAACUAAAGAUUACAAACAUUUUACCGACACAAACAGCUGACAAAGUUGAAUUAAUCUAAAAAAAAAAAAAAAAUCGAGACACAGAUAUUCCAUUCCCUAACCAUAUCAGACACAUCAAGCCUUCAUUACCUACAGCGGUGACGUAAAACACUUGUCGACACCCUGCUAUGACUUUUGGAAAACACAUUCCACGAGGGGAAACUGAGUUGUCCCCAUAGCAUGCGACUCUUCCGCAGAGCCAGAAGAGAUCAUGAGUGAGCCAGCCUUUUACAGAUUCUUGUCAGCGUGAUACAGGGGCCAUGUGCACUAGCUGGCACAUGGUAUUGAGGUAUUGAGCAUAGACAUGCAGCUGGCCUGAAGCCAGGAACAGCACACAGCACUACUAAGCCAGGGCCUGAGUUACUGACACAUACUUUGUUAGCUUAAAAAUGUUUCUACGGUGCAAAAACGGCUAAACAGGCUUCAAACCAGCCAACACCAUUUUCACUUCAUGUAUUUCAAUACACAGGAAUUAGUGGGCUGCUCCUGUUCAACCAGUGACCCACCCACCUGUGGCUUGGAAGAAAGGUAUGCUUUUGACACUAUUGAUGGCCAGACCAAACACACAGAUUUUAUGAGGGCUAAGUGAAGACGAGAACCAGAUUCAAAGAAGUAUUUCUGACAGGUACAGCUGAAUACAGGCUAUUUACCUACAGAGAAUAGUACACUCAACACAGCACAGAGCAAGAUAUACUAAAUAAAGCUAAUAUGAACAUGACAAAGUGAAUAUAAAAAUGACUUAAAGGACAUAAAAAUGUUUGUUGUGUCAUUGUUUUUGCUUAUUUUUCUAUUGUAGCUCCAAACUAAACAAUACUUACUGUGAGCUAAUCAACGUAUGGUGUGAAAUGUGGGCGAAAGCUACCACACAUGGUUUUACAUUGCACAUUGUAAAGGUAACCUAAAUAAAGUUCUAUUCAACUGACCAA